RNAcentral lists this small nucleolar RNA (76 nucleotides) under Notamacropus eugenii (tammar wallaby). RNAcentral describes it as "Small nucleolar RNA SNORD83 (ENSMEUG00000017098.1)". It matches the Rfam family "Small nucleolar RNA SNORD83". Rfam says of the family: U83 (SNORD83) and U84 (SNORD84) are members of the C/D class of snoRNA which contain the C (UGAUGA) and D (CUGA) box motifs. Lineage: Eukaryota; Metazoa; Chordata; Mammalia; Diprotodontia; Macropodidae. The record is from RNAcentral.
GCUAUAUAAUAGGUUUGCAGAGACAUAACCACUCAGUGCUGAGAGGACCUCUUUCUAUCACCCUUGACUGAUGGCA